UACGUAGGGUGCAAGCGUUAAUCGGAAUUACUGGGCGUAAAGCGUGCGCAGGCGGCCAUGCAAGACAGAUGUGAAAUCCCCGGGCUCAACCUGGGAACUGCAUUUGUGACUGCAUGGCUAGAGUACGGUAGAGGGGGAUGGAAUUCCGCGUGUAGCAGUGAAAUGCGUAGAUAUGCGGAGGAACACCGAUGGCGAAGGCAAUCCCUGGACCUGUACUGACGCUCAUGCACGAAAGCGUGGGGAGCAAACGAGG
RNAcentral lists this ribosomal RNA (253 nucleotides) under uncultured bacterium. RNAcentral's name for it is "partial 16S ribosomal RNA". It matches the Rfam family "Bacterial small subunit ribosomal RNA", at positions 524 to 777 of the family's 1533-position model. The record is from RNAcentral.